GAAGUACUCCCUCCGUCCCAAAAUUCUUGUCUUAGAUUUGUCUAAAUAUGGAUGUAUCAAGUCACGUUUUAGUAUUAGAUACAUCCUUAUCUAGUAGAAUAAUCUCAGACAAGAAUUUUGGGACGGAGGGAGUACUCC
This is a non-coding RNA of Triticum aestivum (bread wheat), 138 nucleotides long. The record is from Rfam. Lineage: Eukaryota; Viridiplantae; Streptophyta; Magnoliopsida; Poales; Poaceae.